UUCUUUUCUCUCUCCCUCCUCCUCCAUUGUACACGGCACUGGCUAUCACUCAGACCCACAUGGAGGAGCUGCUGCUAUACUAGGGGGAGGGGCAUCCCUGAUGCGUUAGAGACCUCGGGUGCAUGGGGUUAUUAAAGAUCGGCAUAGAACACCCUGAGUGCUGACAAUGCAGCUGACAUAUCACUAAGUGUCUCAGAAAAGUGCUGAGUACGGUAUGCAGAGUGAGUCUUAAUGGCGCCUCAGGUAUGCUUGAUCAGUUAACUAUGCAUUUUUGUUCACAUUAAUAACUAUAAAAAAUUUUUUGAAUGUCUUGAGACAAUUGAACAUUGGACAUUGAGUUGGACAUUUAUAUGGAUUUUUUUCUUUUUUUCCUUUUUUUUCCAUUUUUUCUACUUUUUUGUCUCUGGACUGUUACAAAUUGUCACUGAUUGUAUAUAACAUCCCUGUGAUGUCACGAGGAGAGGGUGGGGCAUGGACUCACACACCCCUUGCUCUCACUUUAAAAGGAAUGGUCAUCAUGUAACACAUGGCUUGAUAAAGGGCCUGGUAGGCCCGAAACGUUGCCUAAAUUGUAUGAUGUGGGCUUAAUAAAUUUUGGUACACUUUUUGCAACUUGAAUACAGUGUGCUGCUGGUUCCUUUCUACA
Xenopus laevis (African clawed frog) is the source of this 646-nucleotide long non-coding RNA. RefSeq lists it as uncharacterized. Lineage: Eukaryota; Metazoa; Chordata; Amphibia; Anura; Pipidae. The record is from RefSeq and is a predicted model, not a curated record. The transcript is spliced from 2 exons.